GAUUACAGCCGUACCACCUGAACACACCCGAUCUCAUCCAAUCUCGAAAGCUAAGCAUGGGUAGGCCUGGUUAGUACUUGGAUGGGAUUAGUCAGACAUCAGCCAAGUAACUGUGAUGC
Vulpes vulpes (red fox) is the source of this 119-nucleotide ribosomal RNA. The record is from Ensembl. Lineage: Eukaryota; Metazoa; Chordata; Mammalia; Carnivora; Canidae.